Molecule: ribosomal RNA, 62 nt
Filed under: uncultured organism
Description: partial 16S ribosomal RNA
Source: RNAcentral
UGGGCUUGACAUGUCCGGAAUCCUGCAGAGAUGCGGGAGUGCCCUUCGGGGAGUCGGAACAC